GCCCACCCCUGGUAUUAAUGUUGCGGCGACAACUGGAGGAAUGGUAUUAAUUCUCAUUGUCAUCAUCAUCCAACCUGCAUCGUCUCAUACAUAAUCCUCUCUGUUAAUCGGUCCUAAGUCGGGAUCACCACCGCAAAAACCACACCUUCAGUUGCAUGGUCAUCUCAUCGCGUCAUCAGGAAAUCCGUGAAAGUCCAUCCACCCAGCUAAGGCACCCAUCCAUCCAUUGCGGUCAAUACGGUACAACUUUUUGUGGCCAUCACUCACUCACAACUCAUGGAGGAGAAGAUUUGUCCCCCAUGUUCUCCUUGAGGGGAAGAAGUAGAGUGAAAAUGAAACGGAAUUCUAAUAAAAAAGGUAUAUCUAUGUCUGGAAAGCAUUAGCAGAGUGAAAAUAAAACUCAUUUCUAAUAUCUA
Molecule: long non-coding RNA, 416 nt
Organism: Folsomia candida
Lineage: Eukaryota; Metazoa; Arthropoda; Collembola; Entomobryomorpha; Isotomidae
Exons: 2
Source: RefSeq, a predicted model, not a curated record